UCUUUCAUCCAACUACCUGCCGGUUACCAGCUGGAAUAGCUGGCAGAAGCAAAACAUUGAACUUACGUCAGAUCAAGAGAAGGAAAGAAAAGGUUGGCACCCAGCUGGUUAAAAGAGAGUGGAAAACAAACAACUUUUCACGGACUCUGGAAAGAAAACUACGUCCAAAACUCACCAAAUGAUUGAAAUGGAAGGGUAACGGUGAAUUAUUUUCAAAGGAACCACAUUUCUGUUCUUUUAUGAUACAUGUUUCAAGGUACAAACUAUGUUUGCAAAUAGAAAUCUAUUCCAGUCCUCCCAGGUGUGAGAGGAAUGCAUAAGGCAGGCUUGGUGCAUCUUCACAAGACAAAAUUGCUGUCAACAUGAGAAUCUUAAUCCAAUACUCCCUGCUGAACUUGGCACAGAAUCACUGCUCCAUGAGAUCUGGCAUCCAGCCUGAUGCUGAAAGAGGAAAGGACUGAGCCUAGGAGAGGCCUUCUAGGUGAUUGAUUUAUCUUAAUAUCUGACUGCGUUUGAAGAAAAGAACCACGGACAGUCAUCUCUACUUUAAGGUACACGAAGAGGAUGAGAACAGAUUGGAUUGAGAAGUGAAGAGAGAGUGAGCAAGGCACAGGAGCAGCUCGUGGCAUGAAGCCAAAGCAAGCACCAGGAAAACCCAAUUCCAGGAAGAGCCAGCGGCCCUAAAGAAGGAAAUGGUACUAUGAACAUGUGCUGAUGUUUUGCUAGGCAUGCUAUUGUGAGCUCUGAAAAGGGUCCGCUGAGAGGAUUCGCAAUGCCUAUCAAGCCGUCCAGAAAGGAGCUUCCAGCUCCGCGGGGUGAUGGCGUUCAUUGGGUAACAGGCAUGGAAAAGCGAAGGCCUCCUGGGGCCUCGGGCUAAUUGAAUGCAAUCCUGUUUCUCCUUCCUUCACUGCUGAAACACAUAAGCCCAAAU
Molecule: long non-coding RNA, 931 nt
Organism: Hipposideros armiger (great roundleaf bat)
Lineage: Eukaryota; Metazoa; Chordata; Mammalia; Chiroptera; Hipposideridae
Exons: 3
Source: RefSeq, a predicted model, not a curated record